RNAcentral lists this ribosomal RNA (421 nucleotides) under uncultured bacterium. RNAcentral's name for it is "partial 16S ribosomal RNA". It matches the Rfam family "Bacterial small subunit ribosomal RNA", at positions 359 to 773 of the family's 1533-position model. The record is from RNAcentral.
GAAUUUUGGACAAUGGGCGAAAGCCUGAUCCAGCAAUGCCGCGUGCAGGAUGAAGGCCUUCGGGUUGUAAACUGCUUUUGUACGGAACGAAAAGCUUUGGGUUAAUACCCUGGAGUCAUGACGGGACCGGAAGAAUAAGAACCGGCUAAACACGUGCCACAAGCCGCGGUAAUGCGUAGGGUGCAACCGUUAAGCGGAAUUACGUGGCGUAAGCGUGCGUAGGCGGUUUUGUAAGACAGAGGUGAAAUCCCCGGGCUCAACCUGGGAACUGCCUUUGUGACUGCAAGGCUAGAGUACGGCAGAGGGGGGUGGAAUUCCGCGUGUAGCAGUGAAAUGCGUCGAUAUGCGGAGGAACACCGAUGGCGAAGGCAACCCCCUGGGCCUGUACUGACGCUCAUGCACGAAAGCGUGGGGAGCAAAC